RNAcentral lists this ribosomal RNA (464 nucleotides) under uncultured bacterium. RNAcentral describes it as "bacterial SSU rRNA". It matches the Rfam family "Bacterial small subunit ribosomal RNA", at positions 331 to 793 of the family's 1533-position model. The record is from RNAcentral.
CCAGGCUCCUACGGGAGGCAGCAGUGAGGAAUAUUGGUCAAUGGGCGGGAGCCUGAACCAGCCAAGUCGCGUGAGGGACGACGGUCCUAUGGAUUGUAAACCUCUUUUGUCGGGGAACAAAGGCGCCCACGGGUGGGCGGAUGAGUGUACCCGAAGAAAAAGCAUCGGCUAACUCCGUGCCAGCAGCCGCGGUAAUACGGAGGAUGCGAGCGUUAUCCGGAUUUAUUGGGUUUAAAGGGUGCGCAGGCGGGAGAUCAAGUCAGCGGUAAAAUGUCGGGGCUCAACCCCGGCCGGCCGUUGAAACUGGUUUUCUAGAGUUGGAGAGAAGUAUGCGGAAUUCGUGGUGUAGCGGUGAAAUGCAUAGAUAUCACGAAGAACUCCGAUUGCGAAGGCAGCAUACCGGCUCCAUACUGACGCUGAGGCACGAAAGCGUGGGGAUCGAACAGGAUUAGAUACCCGAGUAC